Molecule: ribosomal RNA, 553 nt
Filed under: uncultured Burkholderiales bacterium
Lineage: Bacteria; Pseudomonadati; Pseudomonadota; Betaproteobacteria; Burkholderiales
Description: bacterial SSU rRNA
Rfam family: Bacterial small subunit ribosomal RNA
Source: RNAcentral
ACGGGGGCAACCCUGGGGCGAGUGGCGAACGGGUGAGUAAUGCAUCGGAACGUGCCCAGUAGUGGGGGAUAACCAGUCGAAAGGCUGGCUAAUACCGCAUACGACCUAAGGGUGAAAGCGGGGGACCGUAAGGCCUCGCGCUAUUGGAGCGGCCGAUGUCUGAUUAGCUAGUUGGCGGGGUAAGAGCCCACCAAGGCGACGAUCAGUAGCUGGUCUGAGAGGACGACCAGCCACACUGGGACUGAGACACGGCCCAGACUCCUACGGGAGGCAGCAGUGGGGAAUUUUGGACAAUGGGCGCAAGCCUGAUCCAGCCAUGCCGCGUGCGGGAAGAAGGCCUUCGGGUUGUAAACCGCUUUUGGCAGGAACGAAACGGCGCAAGCCAAUACCUUGCGCUAAUGACGGUACCUGCAGAAUAAGCACCGGCUAACUACGUGCCAGCAGCCGCGGUAAUACGUAGGGUGCAAGCGUUAAUCGGAAUUCUGGGCGUAAGCGUACGCAGGCGGCUUUGCAAGACAGGUGUGAAAUCCCCGGGCCUAACCUGGGAACUGCA